This 279-nucleotide long non-coding RNA is filed under the name Parus major (Great Tit). RNAcentral's name for it is "lncRNA (ENSPMJG00000000609.1)". The record is from RNAcentral. Lineage: Eukaryota; Metazoa; Chordata; Aves; Passeriformes; Paridae.
GCAUUUUGCAGUAAGUUUUUUGUUUUCUUUUCAGGACCUUUCUCUUUAACUCAGCACUGAAGCACUGCUUUCUUUCACAAAGGUUUUACUUCUCUCUGUGGGUGGUUUUGAGAUUACAAUGGCCUAAGAAACCCUUUCUUCAAGGAAUCAUCUGACAAGAAACAUCUAAACACCAGACUUGCCACCAAAACACAUAAAUGGGGCCACCGGCGUCUAUCUGUCAACACCACUGAAACAAUGGCUACAGGUAUUGGAGAAGGGAUAAACCGUAUGAAGCAG